GCUUUAAUAGUUUAAGAAAAAUGUUAAAUUGUGAUUUUAAAGAUGUUGUUAACUUAGAGCA
This 61-nucleotide transfer RNA is filed under the name Argulus japonicus. RNAcentral's name for it is "tRNA-His". It matches the Rfam family "tRNA". From Rfam's summary of the family: Transfer RNA (tRNA) molecules are approximately 80 nucleotides in length. The record is from RNAcentral. Lineage: Eukaryota; Metazoa; Arthropoda; Ichthyostraca; Arguloida; Argulidae.